RNAcentral lists this ribosomal RNA (506 nucleotides) under uncultured bacterium. Its description in RNAcentral is "partial 16S ribosomal RNA". It matches the Rfam family "Bacterial small subunit ribosomal RNA", at positions 29 to 523 of the family's 1533-position model. The record is from RNAcentral.
AGUGAACGCUGGCGGUAGGCCUAACACAUGCAAGUCGAACGGCAGCACAGGAGAGCUUGCUCUCUGGGUGGCGAGUGGCGGACGGGUGAGGAAUACAUCGGAAUCUACUUUUUCGUGGGGGAUAACGUAGGGAAACUUACGCUAAUACCGCAUACGACCUACGGGUGAAAGCAGGGGAUCUUCGGACCUUGCGCGAUUGAAUGAGCCGAUGUCGGAUUAGCUAGUUGGCGGGGUAAAGGCCCACCAAGGCGACGAUCCGUAGCUGGUCUGAGGGGAUGAUCAGCCACACUGGAACGUGGACACGGUCCAGACUCCUACGGGAGGCAGCAGUGGGGAAUAUUGGACAAUGGGCGCAAGCCUGAUCCAGCCAUACCGCGUGGGUGAAGAAGGCCUUCGGGUUGUAAAGCCCUUUUGUUGGGAAAGAAAUCCAGCUGGUUAAUACCCGGUUGGGAUGACGGUACCCAAAGAAUAAGCACCGGCUAACUUCGUGCCAGCAGCCGCCGUAA